This 425-nucleotide ribosomal RNA is filed under the name uncultured bacterium. RNAcentral describes it as "partial 16S ribosomal RNA". It matches the Rfam family "Bacterial small subunit ribosomal RNA", at positions 359 to 775 of the family's 1533-position model. The record is from RNAcentral.
GAAUAUUGGACAAUGGGGGGAACCCUGAUCCAGCCAUGCCGCGUGUGUGAAGAAGGCCUUUUGGUUGUAAAGCACUUUAAGCGAGGAGGAGGCUACCUGGAUUAAUACUUUAGGAUAGUGGACGUUACUCGCAGAAUAAGCACCGGCUACCCCCGUUCCAGCAGCCGCGGUAAUACAGAGGGUGCGAGCGGUAAUCGGAGUUACUGGGAGUAAAGGGUGCGGAGGCGGCCAAUUAAGUCAAAUGUGAAAUCCCCGAGCUUAACUUUGGAAUUGCAUUCGAUACUGGUUGGCUAGAGUAUGGGAGAGGAUGGUAAAAUUCCAGGUGUAGCGGUGAAAUGCGUAGAGAUCUGGAGGAAUACCGAUGGCGAAGGCAGCCAUCUGGCCUAAUACUGACGCUGAGGUACGAAAGCAUGGGGAGCAAACAG